CCUACGGGGGACAGCAGUGAGGAAUAUUGGUCAAUGGCCGGAAGGCUGAACCAGCCAAGCCGCGUGAGGGAAUAAGGCCCUCUGGUUCGUAAACCUCUUUGGUCAGGGAGCAAAGGCGACUACGUCUGGACGAGAGGAGAGUAACUGAAGUAAAAGCAUCGGCAAACUCAGUUCGAGCGGCGGCGGUAAUACGGAGGAUUCGACGUUUAUCGGGAUUUAGUGGGUUAAAGGGGUGCUUAGGCGGAGUGUCAGGUUAACGGUAAAAUUGCGGGCCUCAAACCCGUUGUGCCGUUGAAACUGACUCCCUUGAGUACGUGAGAGGUAAGCGGAAUGCGUAGUGUAGCGGUGAAAUGCAUAGAUAUCACGCAGAACGCC
RNAcentral lists this ribosomal RNA (375 nucleotides) under uncultured bacterium. RNAcentral's name for it is "partial 16S ribosomal RNA". It matches the Rfam family "Bacterial small subunit ribosomal RNA", at positions 338 to 710 of the family's 1533-position model. The record is from RNAcentral.